This 423-nucleotide ribosomal RNA is filed under the name uncultured soil bacterium. RNAcentral's name for it is "bacterial SSU rRNA". It matches the Rfam family "Bacterial small subunit ribosomal RNA", at positions 26 to 441 of the family's 1533-position model. The record is from RNAcentral.
AGGACGAACGCUGGCGGCACGCUUAACACAUGCAAGUCGAACGAGGUCCAUCCACUCGCAAGAGUGGUGAAGACCUAGUGGCGAACGGGUGAGUAACACGUGAGAAACCUGCCCCGAAGACCGGGAUAACUCACCGAAAGGUGAGCUAAUACCGGAUACCCUCACGACGCUUCAUGGCGAUGUGAGGAAAUGGAUUCCGCUUCGGGAGGUCUCGCGGCCUAUCAGCUUGUUGGUGAGGUAACGGCUCACCAAGGCGACGACGGGUAGCUGUUCUGAGAGGAAGAUCAGCCACACUGGGACUGAGACACGGCCCAGACUCCUACGGGAGCAGCAGUGGGGAAUCUUGCGCAAUGGGCGAAAGCCUGACGCAGCGAUGCCGCGUGCGGGAAGACGGCCGUUCGGGGUUGUAAACCGUCUUUACGA